GUACAUAUUUUUAAAUAUUAAUGUCCCAUUUUAAAACUAAUUUAUUUAUAUAUGUAGUAGAAAACAAUAUUAAAUUUUGAUGAAAUCUUAUUAAAAUUUGCAAUUUAUUUUUAUUUUUAACUUGAAUUUGCAAAAACUGGAUUUUAUAUUGAAGUAGGUCUGAUUUAACGCAAAUUCGAUUUUUAGUACAACCCAGAACCAGUUAGAAGAGAGAGUCAGGAUCCGACUGGUUCGAUCGUACGGUCCGAUCAGAUUUUCAAAACAUUGGUUAAUACAGUUUAAUAAUUAAAAAAUAUAUUUUUAAUAAUGAAUAUCUUUACUACUAAAAACAUACAUAUCAUCUUUAAAUUUAUUUCUAACAAAUCUCACACUAUAAAAAAUAAUGAAUAAUAAAAAAAUUAAAAGUCAAUAGUUAUAAUGUGAAAAAAAAAAAUUAUACUAGAGUUAAAAAAUUUUAAAGAUUAAAAAUCUCAAACCCGCGCUUCUUAAGCGCAGAUCAAAAUCUAGUUGAUACUUAUAAUGUAUAUAUACAACAUAUUUAAAUCUGGAUAAAAUACAAUAUUUUAAUUUUAGAAUUGACCUAAUUAUAUGUUCACUGUACACGCC
This 606-nucleotide long non-coding RNA is filed under the name Brassica rapa (field mustard). RNAcentral describes it as "long non-coding RNA (BRAP_LNC001941)". Lineage: Eukaryota; Viridiplantae; Streptophyta; Magnoliopsida; Brassicales; Brassicaceae. The record is from RNAcentral.